GAUUCUUAAGAUUCUUGUUCCAAGCUUUUUUCAAACAUUCUCUCCUCACGACAUUUUUGGAAUAGUUAAGGAUGCUGCCGUGCUCCCUGGUCACCCAAGUAUCGGCAAGUGUUUAUCGAGACCACAUGAAAACAAUCCCAGCUUUAUUAACCUUUAUUAUGAGUGCCAUCUCUAUGACAUAAUCUCCCCUUUCUAUUUAAGGGCUCUAUGAGGCGCCGGUACUUCAUAAAUCUGCAUUUGAAGGAGAAGGAAAAAGCCUGUGGCUCAGAGGGCGAGAGGAAGGGGAAGGAGGAGCCCCCAAAGGACCUGCAGUAGUGGCAAUUUCCUCGUUGGAUUCGAGCAGCAUGACGAACUUAACUCCUCUUGAAUAAAGUUUGUUAGGAA
RNAcentral lists this long non-coding RNA (384 nucleotides) under Penaeus japonicus. RNAcentral's name for it is "uncharacterized LOC122249699". Lineage: Eukaryota; Metazoa; Arthropoda; Malacostraca; Decapoda; Penaeidae. The record is from RNAcentral.